Molecule: ribosomal RNA, 253 nt
Filed under: uncultured bacterium
Lineage: Bacteria
Description: partial 16S ribosomal RNA
Rfam family: Bacterial small subunit ribosomal RNA
Source: RNAcentral
UACGUAGGGUGCAAGCAUUAAUCGGAUUUAUUGGGCGUAAAGGGCGCGUAGGCUGAGAUGUAAGUCAGAUGUGAAAUCCCGGGGCUCAACCCCGGAACAGCAUUUGAAACUGCAUCCCUAGAGGGUAGGCGGAGAAAACGGAAUUCCACAAGUAGCGGUGAAAUGCGUAGAUAUGUGGAAGAACACCAGUGGCGAAGGCGGUUUUCUAGCUUAUACCUGACGCUGAUGCGCGAAAGCGUGGGGAGCAAACAGG